Molecule: ribosomal RNA, 222 nt
Filed under: uncultured bacterium
Lineage: Bacteria
Description: partial 16S ribosomal RNA
Rfam family: Bacterial small subunit ribosomal RNA
Source: RNAcentral
GAUCCUGGCUCAGGAUGAACGCUAGCUACAGGCUUAACACAUGCAAGUCGAGGGGCAGCAUGUUGGUUGCUUGCAACCGAUGAUGGCGACCGGCGCACGGGUGAGUAACGCGUAUCCAACCUACCCUUGUCCAUCGGAUAACCCGUCGAAAGGCGGCCUAACACGAUAUGCGGUUCACCGCAGGCAUCUAACGUGAACGAAUGUGAGAGAGAGUGGAUGCGU